RNAcentral lists this small RNA (18 nucleotides) under Arabidopsis thaliana (thale cress). RNAcentral describes it as "ATSL131480". The record is from RNAcentral. Lineage: Eukaryota; Viridiplantae; Streptophyta; Magnoliopsida; Brassicales; Brassicaceae.
AGAAGAAGAACGAAGAAU